CCAUGAGCUACUUUCCACCGUUGUGCUCUUCAGCAAGGCCUUUUUACCCUAGAUCUCAAAAAUAGAAUUCAAUUAAGGAUUGUUGUUUAGAUUGUGUAUAAUGUUCAAUACUGAUGGUUGAUGAGGGAGUGGUGGUUGAGAAGGGGCUUUGAUGACAUAGACGCCACUUCCUCUGUCUUUAAAAGUCAGACCGACAGAGAGACAGCAGUAACCAGGGUUUAAGUGUUGGAGAUGUUACUGCACUGGUGUCUGCUGUUGAUCGGUUUCUCUCUCAGCACAUCAACCACAGCAGCAGAAGCAAUUCUCUGGGUGAAGACAGGGGAGAAGUUUACCAUGAAGUGCUCCACCACUCUAAAAGACCAGGACGGAAUGUACCUGUAUGUUGGGCUGGACAGGGACAGGGAGGUGUUGUAUUACUACCAGCGUGGCUCCAAGCUGACCUCCAGGAAAGGCUACUGGGACAGAGUGACGACUGAGGGACCUGUGGACCAACUGACCAUCACCGUCAGUAACCUGACCAUAGAGGACACAGGAGUCUACUGGUGUGUUUACACAAAAGUCAACAAAUCCACGUUCAAUAAUUUUAGCACCCAAGGCAAAGGCUCCACUCUGGUGGUGGUGAAUGACGAUGCCCCACAGCUGCCAUGUCCUACAGCUACUGCAGUAACGCUGACCCCCUUUCAUCUGGCCAAUGAGAAGCUGUGCCCAUCUGGCGUGGUAAACAUCAUCAUCAUCAUCAUCAUCACCAGCCUCUUGACCAUCCUGCUGUGUGCUGUCAUUUUCCUCAUCUGGGUCGCUCCACGGGUGAAGAGGUGCUGUAACCAGGGAGGAUCCACACCCCAGGUCUUUCCUGAGUCUGUCUAUGAAGACAUGGCCAGGAAACACACUUAUCCACCAGACACACAGGUAGAAUCGUAGGUAGCAAUUGUACCCCUAUUCUGUCUCUACCAACGGAGGAACUAGGACCAGUGAGUUCUUCAAAUGCUUUUUCUGAAUAUUGCUUCUUUACUUUCUCAGAAUUGAAAAGCCUGUUCUGCUGUAUUUCACAGUUCUAGCCUCAAUGCAAGUCUUUGUGGUAAAUUGUCUGUGUGUGUGUGCACGUAUGUGUCGCACCAUACCAUGCUUAUGUGUGUGAAUAAAAUCUCUAUAUGAUAAGUAUUCGUAUUUCAACAGAAGACCAGCGGGAAGGAGGGGAACAGCCAAUGUUAUAUUCCAGGGCUAUUCAACUAUAUUCUUACGGGUGCUAGAUGUAAAAAAGUUUUAUUUCAGGGAGGGCGGACAUUUUCCACAUGCAAUGCACACACACCAAUAAAAGAAAAGGCUCAACGCUCGCUCACCAUUUUAUUAUUUAUUUAUCUCAAUAAAUAAGACAAUAACUAUAGUGCUUUUCAUUUUGGCACUGAACGUCAGAUUUUGGCGCAGAUAUUUUAUGAAUGUUGAUCUUUUAUGAAGAAUUGAUCAAAGGGCCAGUCUAAAUUAAUAAAUGGGCCGGAUCUGGCCCGUGGGCCGCCAGGUGAAUAUCCCUGUUUUAGUCCAUAAGGUGUAAAGGUUAUAGCAAUGGAGGCCUACCAAUACCUUUUUUUCAGUACAUCAGGUCAUACGUUUUAUAUUGGUUUUAGUUUGAAAUAGUGCUGUAGGCUGUGGUGUGUAGUGUUUUUAGGUCACUGGACCACUCAGGAAGCUGUUCCUGUGCAUGUGGUCUGCUACAAAGUCAAAAGAGCUUCAACGUUAAAAUGAGAACAGUUUGUUAAAACCUUUAUUAUAUUUGAUCAUAGGUACAAAUGUUUUAGCUGCCUAAACUUUAUCAGGUACAUCAGGAUAUAAGCCUACGAGUCAGUUUCAACUUCCUAAACAUUAUUUCCACUUUGAAAACCAGUUAUUGUGUAAAAUAUGUUUUGGGGUGGGAAACAUAUUCACACCGUUUAUUGCCUUUUAAUCAAAAUAUUGAUACAUAAUUAAUAGUCAUGUGAUAUUCAACUUGUGUAUUCAUGUUUAUGUUGUAUUUGUAUACAGUUGAAGUCGGAAGUUUACAUACACUUAUGUUGGACUAAUUAAAUUUCUUGUU
This 2065-nucleotide long non-coding RNA is filed under the name Salmo salar (Atlantic salmon). Its description in RNAcentral is "lncRNA (ENSSSAG00000115993.1)". The record is from RNAcentral. Lineage: Eukaryota; Metazoa; Chordata; Actinopteri; Salmoniformes; Salmonidae.